AAAUAAUAAUUAAAAGAGAUACAAAAAUAUUGUCAAACUGAAAACAAGAAAACCAUUGCCAGUCCAAAUGAGCUUCAAAUUGCCGUUUUAAU
Maniola jurtina (meadow brown) is the source of this 92-nucleotide long non-coding RNA. RefSeq lists it as uncharacterized. The transcript is spliced from 3 exons. The record is from RefSeq and is a predicted model, not a curated record. Lineage: Eukaryota; Metazoa; Arthropoda; Insecta; Lepidoptera; Nymphalidae.